UACGAAGGGGGCGAGCGUUGUUCGGAUUUACUGGGCGUAAAGGGCGCGCAGGCGGCUUAUUUUGUCAGGCGUGAAAGCCCCGGGCUUAACCUGGGAACUGCGUUUGAUACGGAUGGGCUAGAGUUCGGGAGAGGAGAGUGGAAUUCCCAGUGUAGAGGUGAAAUUCGUAGAUAGUUGGGAAGAACACCGGUGGCGAAGGCGGCUCUCUGGACCGAGACUGACGCUGAGGCGCGAAAGCGUGGGGAGCAAACAGG
Molecule: ribosomal RNA, 254 nt
Filed under: uncultured bacterium
Lineage: Bacteria
Description: partial 16S ribosomal RNA
Rfam family: Bacterial small subunit ribosomal RNA
Source: RNAcentral